GUAAUCGUAAACCGUAUCCAAUCGUCGAACGUACUUAAGCGUGCACUCGUAGACACGGACGGAUGAUAACGACUGCAUGCGUCCCCUUAAAAAAACGGAGUAUAAAGAUAAAAGUAAACUAAUUUGGUAGGAAAAGGGUUUCAUUAAUAAGGGCUGAAAACGAAGAAACUGUUUGAAAGGAGAUACGUGUUUUAUCGGUGGAGCAGCUGUACAGUAAGUACCAGUAGGUGUUUAUUUUGAAAUAAAAUUGGCUGGCUUAACCCAUCUCGAAGCACCAUAACUUUCAUCAUUUUCAAUCGAUUGUAGUAUCAACCAUCGCGCAACAAUUACGUGCAAAUAUUAUAAGUAUUUACGUAUUUUUUAUUUAAAAUUAUCAAAGUAAAUGGAUUGAACAUUUUUAAGGAAAGUAAAUGAUAAGAUUCUUCAAGAUCGGCAUUCAGAAUGUCAAUAUUUAACGUCUCUAUUAUUUAGGUUAGGGAUUAAAUCAAUUCAACUUUCUUUUUUAAACACAUAUCUGUACCUAUAUAAUAUUGAGAGAAUGCAAAAAUAUUAGUCCUUCCUUCUUUUCUACCACGUAAUCAAUUUAAUCCUAACAAAUAAUUACUACUUUCAAGCGGCUGACUUAAAUAUUUGCAAGUGCAUUUCAACCCCGGGCUGCAAACUGAAAUCUUCGAAGUUUUCCGCAAACUUUCAAUAAGUUAAUACGUUUUAAAUGUCUCGCUCGUUAUCGUUUGUACAUUGGAAUUACAAUGGACCUCGAUUUCUUGCAACUCCCAGAAAUAUCAGUACUGUCUGUAAUAUUUACCCUGUUUUUCGUAUUCCUUUUAAGGAAGUGGUAUAACGUUUUUAAUAAAGUAAAGGUUGAUUUAAUAAAGUCCACUAUUUAUUACCUUUUUUGUUAAAAUAUUUAGUUUUGAUUUAACGUGUUCUACUGCAAAGCGCCAGUUGGAAGAGUGACGGAUACGAACAGCCAUUGGUUGUCGUUUGACCUAUAGCCCUGGAGCGUACACGAGCCUUGUUGCUUCGACGACGUUAUCGUCUUCCAUCAUAGUAGUGGUGACGUUUAGUGACUCCCUGCGACGUUUUACAUCUGAAUAGGGAUCAAGGUCCUUCUACUAUCUGUACCGCGUCACGACCAUGGCGGUCUACUCAGAGAAUAUAGAUUUGCAAAAACUGUAUUGUAACGAAAACCGCUACAUAACUAUAACAUGAUUCGCUUACAAGUAAAAUCUGAAAACAACCACCGCAUACGUAUUACAUAGUCAAUAUUAAUACAGCGAUUCAGUCUUCUUUCUCAUAAG
Orussus abietinus is the source of this 1301-nucleotide long non-coding RNA. RefSeq lists it as uncharacterized. The transcript has 2 exons. The record is from RefSeq and is a predicted model, not a curated record. NCBI's taxonomy places the organism in Eukaryota, Metazoa, Arthropoda, Insecta, Hymenoptera, Orussidae.